AAUAAGCGGAGGAAAAGAAACUAACAAGGAUUCCCCUAGUAACGGCGAGUGAAGCGGGAUGAGCUCAAAUUUGUAAUCUGGCGGCCUUUGGCCGUCCGAGUUGUAGUCUGGAGAAGCGUUUUCCGCGUCGGACCGUGUACAAGUCCCUUGGAACAGGGCGUCGUAGAGGGUGAGAAUCCCGUCUUUGACACGGACUGCCGAUGCUUUGUGAUGCGCUCUCGAAGAGUCGAGUUGUUUGGGAAUGCAGCUCAAAACGGGUGGUAAAUUCCAUCUAAAGCUAAAUACGGGCGAAAGACCGAUAGCGAACAAGUACCGUGAGGGAAAGAUGAAAAGCACUUUGGAAAGAGAGUUAAACAGUACGUGAAAUUGUUGAAAGGGAAACGCUUGAAGUCAGUCGCGUCUCCUGGGACUCAGCCUUGCUUCUGCUCGGUGUACUUCCUGGGGUUGACGGGCCAGCAUCGAUUUUGACCGUCGGAGAAAGGCCUUGGGAACGUGGCACCCUUUGGGUGUGUUAUAGCCCUCGGUCGUAUGCGACGGUUGGGAUCGAGGACCGCAGCACGCCUUUUUGGCCGGGGUUCGCCCACGUACGUGCUUAGGAUGCUGGCGUAAUGGCUUUAAGCGACCCGUCUUGAAACACGGACCAAGGAGUCUAACAUGCCUGCGAGUGUUUGGGUGGUAAACCCGGACGCGAAAUGAAAGUGAAAGGUUGGGACCUCUGUCGUGGAGGGCACCGACGCCCGGACCAGACCUUUUGUGACGGUUCCGAGGUAGAGCAUGCAUGCUGGGACCCGAAAGAUGGUGAACUAUGCUUGAGUAGGGUGAAGCCAGAGGAAACUCUGGUGGAGGCUCGUAGCGAUUCUGACGUGCAAAUCGAUCGUCGAACUUGAGUAUAGGGGCGAAAGACUAAUCGAACCAUCUAGUAGCUGGUUCCUGC
This 934-nucleotide ribosomal RNA is filed under the name Gautieria morchelliformis. RNAcentral's name for it is "partial large subunit ribosomal RNA". It matches the Rfam family "Eukaryotic large subunit ribosomal RNA", at positions 45 to 961 of the family's 3401-position model. The record is from RNAcentral. Lineage: Eukaryota; Fungi; Basidiomycota; Agaricomycetes; Gomphales; Gomphaceae.